RNAcentral lists this ribosomal RNA (375 nucleotides) under uncultured organism. RNAcentral's name for it is "partial 16S ribosomal RNA". It matches the Rfam family "Bacterial small subunit ribosomal RNA", at positions 527 to 896 of the family's 1533-position model. The record is from RNAcentral.
GGAGGGGGCUAGCGUUAUUCGGAAUCAUUGGGCGUAAAGGGCGUGUAGGCGGCUUCGUGUGUCCCAUGUGAAAGCCCUCGGCUCAACCGAGGAAUUGCAUGGGAAACUGCGGAGCUUGAGUCCGGGAGAGGAGAGCGGAAUUCCCAGUGUAGCGGUGAAAUGCGUAGAUAUUGGGAGGAACACCGGUGGCGAAGGCGGCUCUCUGGACCGGUACUGACGCUGAGACGCGAAAGCCAGGGGAGCAAACGGGGAUUAGAUACCCCGGUAGUCCUGGCCGUAAACGAUGAGCACUUGGUGUGGCGGGUAUCGACCCCCGUGCCGUGCCCGAAGCUAACGCAUUAAGUGCUCCGCCUGGGGAGUACGGCCACAAGGCUG